GUGAGAGGUGGGUGUUCGCGUCGAGGAGGCAUGAUAAUCUAUAAGAGGAAACAAAGCGAGUUAAGGCAACCUUAGGCUCUAUAUGUUGAUACAUGUAUUCUAUUCAACCUAACCUAACUUAACUCGGGGCCACACUGGCACUGUAAAUUUUUAAAAUAACUUUAAAACCAAAAACUCUUAUCUUUAAAAUCAAAAGCUUUGAUACCAAUAGAAUUGUCACGACUUGGAACUCCCAUCGAGCCCGUGAUAACCGUCACGACAUCUCGUUAGACAUUCAUUACUCGGAAUGUCAAUCGAAACCUCGCAAGGCUUAACAUCAAUUUUUCUCACUUCCCCUAUGAGUGUUAGUCACUAAAAUUAUGUUUUGAGGGAUUAUAAACUAUUUUCAAAUCAAAACAAUAGAAAAACAAUUUUUAACUCACAAGGGCAUUUUGGUCAUUUUUCCUUAAAAAUCUCGAAAUCCGCUAAAAAUGUAGUAUGCGAGUACAAAACACAUAAUUCAUAAUAAAAAAUAAGUUUAAACAUCUAAAACCUUCAUUUAAAAUGAAAUUAUGAUUAUUUGGAUAUAAUAAAAAAAAAGAAAUAUUCAAUAAAAUAUUUUAUUUUCUUAUAAAACAAUAUUUUUAGAGCUAUACAUAAAUAAUUUUUUUGUAGUAGCGUCAAAGUAAAAUAAAUUCAUACAUACUGUAAUACAAUAAGCCAGAGUAUUUAAUUGAAUUUACAAUAACCAAUGGGCCCCCGAGUAACUAAAAGUAAGGAAGAUUGUGAACCUACAGUUUGAAGGAUGCAAAUCCAAUGGUAGCCUCAAUAAAAUCAGCUAUCUACAGCCUAUUCUGAGCUUGAAAUGGGUGGAAAGGAGGGUGGUGAGAUUAUAUAAUCCCAGUGAGUAAACAAAUAUCAUCUAAAAUAUCUAAAGUCGAGCAAAUGGAGACAGAUAAAAUAGUUUAACAUAUUGUAAUUCAUCACCUUUCAACUUGUUUCAACCAAACAAAAUCAAUUCAUAUAAAUCGAGUAAUCAACAUGGCUUAUGAAUUUCUUAAAACUUUGGCUCGUGCCAAAAUCAUUCUCAUACUCAGUUAUCAGAGAUACCUUGAUCGAGGGCUAUCCUAACCGAGUCCGCCAGGGCUGUUAAAAAGUUAUGUAAGCAUAAAUCAUGUUUUUAUUUUGAAAACAUAGCCGUUCCUUGACGUUGGCUGAGUUCACCCUCACGUGGUGGUUUUCCGUGAAGUGAAACUCUAAAGUUAUACCUCGGGAGUUACCUUACUCGCCUCUCCAACCGAGGUAAAAUAUAACAGGAUUCUGUGCCCCUCUAAUAGCUUGGUCUAGAGAAAACCCGCCCACUGCAGCAAGCUAAACCCACCAUACAAUAAAUUUUGCAAUAGCAUGACAUGGCAAUUAUUUUAUUUUAUUUUAUAGCCUUUCAAGGCAAAUCAACAAUUUAUACAUUUCCAACACAUUUAUCAAAUCAACCAUUCAUGCCAAUAUUGCCAUAAGCCAAUCAAUUAGAAUCAUGAAUUUACAACAAACAAAAACAGUCUCCAAUUACUCUAUUUUCAAACCAUCAUUCAAUUUUAAAACAAUUUUAUGAAAUCAUUUCAUUAAAUCACAUUUUGUUUAUAAAACCAAAAAAUUAAUCAUUUAAUUCAUUUUCCAUAAAAUUCACAAAAUUGAAUAAAACAUACUUUAGAUAAUUAAGAUGAUGAUAAGGUUACUCACUAUUUCAGAAGUCGAAUUCCAAGUACUCCGAUUCUUGAUCCUCGGGUACUAUCUCUUUACUUUUGCCAAAAUGCUCACCACCUAGACAUAAUGCACAAUAAGCCAUUUACUACAUUGUGCUAAAUUGUUAUAAAACCAAUUCAAGCUUAUACUAAUGUAUGAAAUGGGAUGCAAAUUGUUCAGAUUAUUGUCUAAACAUGGUGUUCUACACAAAUUCAAUUGUGCACCUAAAUUAAACGGUAUUGGCCUAAUUCGAUCUAUCACUCGAUUAAUUGGCCAUUAUGUCCAUUUCAACUCCAAAUAAUUUCAUUUUUCUCCCAAUACUCCAAAUCAUCAAACACAAAUUAAAUAACUUGAAAUAUGGCAAAAUCAUCCUCACAUUUUCUCUUGGAAAAUUUGGCCAUGGUGGGUGCAUCAACACUAUAAUUUUUCCUACUUGAUUCUCACACCAUAAAUCACUAAUUCCUAACCAAAUCAGUUGAAAUAAAAUCAAAAUCAUCAUCAAUAUUCUACAUGGAGAAUUCGGCCAAUGAUGGGUGAUGGGAGAACAUGAAUUUUUCUUGCUUGAUUUUUAUGCUACACAUCACCAAUCAACUAAAAACACUAAAAUACAUUGAAAUCUAACCAAAUCAAGCAUCAAAACCUCUCUCCUAGGGUUUGGUCAGCACACUAUCCUUCAUGAUAUCUUGUGAUUCAACCAUGAAAAAUUUAAAAUAAUGCAUGGGAAAGGUAAAUCACAAGUCAAAAUCAAGAAAUUUUACCUUUGAUUGCUUGAUUACUUGAAAUCCACUAAUUUUCUCUUGAAUUUUCACCCUAGGGUUCUUGUUCUUCCUUUUACUUCCUUUGUUCUUGCUUUGG
Molecule: long non-coding RNA, 2574 nt
Filed under: Theobroma cacao (cacao)
Lineage: Eukaryota; Viridiplantae; Streptophyta; Magnoliopsida; Malvales; Malvaceae
Description: long non-coding RNA (TCAC_LNC001715)
Source: RNAcentral